Molecule: ribosomal RNA, 915 nt
Filed under: Buccella peruviana
Lineage: Eukaryota; Foraminifera; Rotaliida; Trichohyalidae
Description: bacterial SSU rRNA
Rfam family: Eukaryotic small subunit ribosomal RNA
Source: RNAcentral
AAGGGCACCACAAGAACGCGUGGAGCAUGUGGCUUAAUUUGACUCAACGCGGGAAAUCUUACCGGGUCCGGACACACUGAGGAUUGACAGACAAUCAUGUACUUACACACUAUGUGGNNAAUCAUCANAUAANGAUGCUAGUUCUUUCAUGAUUAUGUGAUAGGUGGUGCAUGGCCGUUCUUAGUUCGUGGAGUGAUCUGUCUGCUUAAUUGCGUUUCACAAUUAAGAUACGAAUAUACGCUAUACUAUAUACUUGACCCCAUACUCCGGUAUGCGCAGUGUCUCGGUAUAUAUAGCAUUCGUUAUUUCGAAAGCAACGAACGUGACCGUAUCCUUUUGUUAAAUACACCGUAUUAAAAACUAAAGGGACCGCUGUUUCUUUCUUAAACCAGAGGAAGGUUACGGCAAUAACAGGUCUGUGAUGCCCUUAGAUGUUCCGGGCUGCACACGUGCUACAAUGAUUAUUUCAGUACGUAUCUCAAACUUUAAACACUGUAUAGUUUUAUACUAUACAGUUCAAAUCCUACCUCGAAAGUCAGGUGGGUAAUCAAUUAGAAGUAAUGAUUUCCUCUUUGUACAAAUAUAUACAGCGUAUCUAUAUCCCAUGUUUAGACUCCGGUCUGCAUGCGUGUGUAUAGUACGUAUAAUUCCUAUAGGUCUUAUAAUACUGUAUGUACAAUUGUUAAUUCAUGGUGGGGACAGACCAUUGUUAAUUGUUGGUCUCGGUCUUAACUAGGAAUGCCUUGUACGGGUCUUUGGUUCAUCAAACCACCCGGAAUACGUCCCUGCCCUUUGUACACACCGCCCGUCGCUCUUACCGAUGAACUUUACUAUGAAUUUGAGGGAAAGACUCAUUGCGAGUCGCUAACUUAAAUGAAUAGUGUGGUUUAAAGGAAAGAGAAGUCGAACAAGGCA